This 460-nucleotide ribosomal RNA is filed under the name uncultured bacterium. RNAcentral describes it as "partial 16S ribosomal RNA". It matches the Rfam family "Bacterial small subunit ribosomal RNA", at positions 338 to 795 of the family's 1533-position model. The record is from RNAcentral.
CCUACGGGAGGCUGCAGUGAGGAAUAUUGGUCCAUGGACGAGAGUCUGAACCAGCCAAGUAGCGUGAAGGAUGACUGCCCUAUGGGUUGUAAACUUCUUUUAUAUGGGAAUAAAAUGUUCCAAGUGUGGGAUUUUGUAUGUACCAUAUGAAUAAGGAUCGGCUAACUCCGUGCCAGCAGCCGUGGUAAUACGGAGGGUCCGAGCGUUAUCCGGAUUUAUUGGGUUUAAAGGGAGCGUAGGUGGAUUGUUAAGUCAGUUGUGAAAGUUUGCGGCUCAACCGUAAAAUUGCAGUUGAAACUGGCAGUCUUGAGUACAGUAGAGGUGGGCGGAAUUCGUGGUGUAGCGGUGAAAGGCUUAGAGAUCACGAAGAACUCCGAUUGCGAAGGCAGCUCACUGGACUGCAACUGACACUGAGGCUCGAAAGUGUGGGUAUCAAACAGGAUUAGAUACCCGAGUAGUC